This is a non-coding RNA of Nematostella vectensis (starlet sea anemone), 161 nucleotides long. The record is from Rfam. NCBI's taxonomy places the organism in Eukaryota, Metazoa, Cnidaria, Anthozoa, Actiniaria, Edwardsiidae.
AGACGUGUUUACACGGCAGGAAUUAUAUGUUAUGCCUACCUGCAAGAGACGUGUUUACACGGCAGGAAUUAUAUGUUAUGCCUACCUGCAAGAGACGUGUUUGCACGGCAGGAAUUAUAUGUUAUGCCUACCUGCAAGAGACGUGUUUACACGGCAGGAAU